Molecule: long non-coding RNA, 835 nt
Filed under: Homo sapiens (human)
Lineage: Eukaryota; Metazoa; Chordata; Mammalia; Primates; Hominidae
Description: HSALNT0095990
Source: RNAcentral
AAACUCCACGGAGAAACAAAGGGGCAAAGGGGAAAAGUGCACAAGAAGAGAAUCCAUCCAUUUCAAGGAUUGUUCUUGCUGCUAACAAGAACGGGCCUCAGGUGGAUCAAGUCCCCUUAGAUUUGGUGGAACCUGGGCUCCAUUUCCAGCUGCAGGGACAGCUCAGAACUCCCAUGUUUCCUCAAAAGGUUCCCUCCUGCUGCUCACCUGAGCUGCCUGUCCCAGCACACAGCCACCAUCACCAGCAGGUUCCCCAAGAUGGCCAUCAGGAUAACCGUCGAGAGAAACGUGAGCAGCACCACCUUCUCCACUGACCCGAAACCCUCCUCAGAACUGAAAGACACACACAAGCACAAAGAAUUGAAUGAAACUCUGGGACACAAGAAGGAAAAUUCGUCUUUUCAUCAUUGACCUUCAGAAAGGUUUCUUGAGAGACUAAACAUACAAAUGGACAAUGGCCAGACCAUGUGUAACAAUAAAACUCCGAUGGACAAUCUCUGGCAGCCAGCCCAGAACGAUCAGGACUUGUUCAAUGACUGCGAGCUAGCUUCCCCCUUUUUUAACCCUCUUACCUGCUUCCAACUCAAGACUAACAACAGAAUGCCAAAGACACUGCUCCCCAAAGCAAUUACGUAAGAUGCCUCACUGCUUGUUAGUGCACCUCCUGCUUCAAUGUGCCAACAACCUCCAAUCAGAAGAUAGCAGAAGCCUUCUUUUCCCCGCUUAUAAAGCUUUUUUACUCCCCUGCCUGUCUUUGAGACUUUGCUAAAUUCCAAGGAUGGUGGCUGAUCCUCUUGCUUUAUCAUGCUCUGAAUAAAUUGCUUGUUUGUUCUCA